Non-coding RNA from Cordylochernes scorpioides, 65 nucleotides. NCBI's taxonomy places the organism in Eukaryota, Metazoa, Arthropoda, Arachnida, Pseudoscorpiones, Chernetidae. The record is from the annotation of a GenBank genome assembly.
UGCGUCGGCCGGGAAUCGAACCUGAAGCGUGGCAGGCGAGCAUUCUACCACUGAACCACCGAUGC